RNAcentral lists this ribosomal RNA (395 nucleotides) under uncultured bacterium. Its description in RNAcentral is "bacterial SSU rRNA". It matches the Rfam family "Bacterial small subunit ribosomal RNA", at positions 521 to 916 of the family's 1533-position model. The record is from RNAcentral.
UAAUACGAAGGGGGCUAGCGUUGUUCGGAAUCACUGGGCGUAAAGCGUACGUAGGCGGGCAAUUAAGUCAGGGGUGAAAGCCUUGAGCUCAACUCAAGAACUGCCUUUGAUACUGGUUGCCUGGAGUCCGGGAGAGGUGAGUGGAACUGCUAGUGUAGAGGUGAAAUUCGUAGAUAUUAGCAAGAACACCAGUGGCGAAGGCGGCUCACUGGCCCGGUACUGACGCUGAGGUACGAAAGCGUGGGGAGCAAACAGGAUUAGAUACCCUGGUAGUCCACGCCGUAAACGAUGGAAGCCAGCCGUUGGCCAGCAUGCUGGUCGGUGGCGCAGCUAACGCAUUAAGCUUCCCGCCUGGGGAGUACGGUCGCAAGAUUAAAACUCAAAUGAAUUGACGG